GUUAUUCUAAAAAUAGCAGAUUAAGCAAUCAAUUAGUUUAUUCAGUCAUUCCACAAAAACUUAAAGUAUGAAAAUAUUGUACUUACUGGAAAUAUGAUGGGCUAUCAGAAUUGUGUCUGACAGGGCUGGUCACUUACGUUUUGAAGAAUAGCUUAGAAAUCUUUUCCUGUUUAACACUCAGCAAUAUAGAAACAGUUCACCUGGGCGUUCUGAAAUGAAGAGUUUAUUUUUAAGGAGCUGAUAAUCAAAAAUGGAUUACUUGCCUGGUAUUGGGUUUCAGGCAGUCUGGAUUUCCAAAUCAUAAUUUUCUAGAGGG
RNAcentral lists this long non-coding RNA (316 nucleotides) under Bos taurus (domestic cattle). Its description in RNAcentral is "long non-coding RNA NONBTAT019027". Lineage: Eukaryota; Metazoa; Chordata; Mammalia; Artiodactyla; Bovidae. The record is from RNAcentral.